GAUGAACGCUGGCGGCGUGCCUAAUACAUGCAAGUCGAGCGAACGGACGAGAAGCUUGCUUCUCUGAUGUUAUCGGCGGACGGGUGAGUAACACGUGGAUAACCUACCUAUAAGACUGGGAUAACUUCGGGAAACCGGAGCUAAUACCGGAUAAUAUUUUGAACCGCAUGGUUCAAAAGUGAAAGACGGUCUUGCUGUCACUUAUAGAUGGAUCCGCGCUGCAUUAGCUAGUUGGUAAGGUGACGGCUUACCAAGGCAACGAUGCAUAGCCGACCUGAGAGGGUGAUCGGCCACACUGGAACUGAGACACGGUCCAGACUCCUACGGGAGGCAGCAGUAGGGAAUCUUCCGCAAUGGGCGAAAGCCUGACGGAGCAACGCCGCGUGAGUGAUGAAGGUCUUCGGAUCGUAAAACUCUGUUAUUAGGGAAGAACAUAUGUGUAAGUAACUGUGCACAUCUUGACGGUACCUAAUCAGAAAGCCACGGCUAACUACGUG
Molecule: ribosomal RNA, 497 nt
Filed under: uncultured bacterium
Lineage: Bacteria
Description: partial 16S ribosomal RNA
Rfam family: Bacterial small subunit ribosomal RNA
Source: RNAcentral